Molecule: long non-coding RNA, 894 nt
Organism: Pantherophis guttatus
Lineage: Eukaryota; Metazoa; Chordata; Lepidosauria; Squamata; Colubridae
Source: RefSeq, a predicted model, not a curated record
AGGAGUUGAAGCUGGAUUGAGAACAACAACCUCCUCCAAUUUGUCAUUGCAGUAACAACUCUGUAAGGGCUCAGCAGAAGAGGAGGAAACCUGGAGAAGGCCUCAUGUUGUCAUGGCAACGGCAUCCCUGGCCCUGAUCUGUAGAGUAGGUGCAAUAGCUUCCUUGCUGAGGCCUCUUGAGGGUUGUCAAAAGUCUAUAGGAACAAAAGAAGCCAAAAAGACAACCUUGUUUUCUCAAGAAGACAGAGGACAUGGAAUAGAGGGAUUAAAGACCAGUCACUAGAUAUUUCUUCUAAAAAAGACACUGCUGAGAUGAUUGUGCUAAAAAGGGAAUGUAGCUCUUCCCAAUAUAGUGAUUGUGAUUCUUUCCAAUUAGAAACAAUUUCCAUGUUGUUGCCAAAAAAGGAUGUAAAUGCAAUUAAGCUAAAUUCAAGGGCAUCUUUAUGUUGAGAUCCACUCACUUCAGUUUUUGUAAUUCAAAGUAUCCUGAAAGACUAAAUAUGCUAAAAAUGUAAGGUAAGCUUUUUACAAUUUACAACAAUAGCAUACAUUACAGUCCUUUAUGUUAUCUUAUGUGGUAUCAGUUGCCAUCAUUACAAUACCUUCUGCUCAUUAAUGCUAUGCUGUCUGGGCAUUUUAACACGAAUUUUCUACAUUGCAAGAGAGGCUGCCCAUUUUACCUGAUCCAAAAUUUGUUUAUAAUCUAACAUUCCUAUGCAAUGUAAUUGAUUCCUGAAGCUAUGGAAACCCAACAGUAUUUCAUAUAAUUUUGGAAUUAAUAGGAUCUCAUUUCUAUUAUGACAUCAUGAUAAAAGGUUUUCAAUUCAUGAACUAGGUACUGAGCUUAAUUUUCCUUUUCUUUUAUGAAUAAACGUAACAUGAUGUUUGUAAAUU